ACUUUUUAGUUUAAUUUAAGAAUUUUUUAUUUACGAUGAAAGGGUUAUUAAAAGUUUU
This 58-nucleotide transfer RNA is filed under the name Thelazia callipaeda (thelaziosis nematode). Its description in RNAcentral is "tRNA-Val". The record is from RNAcentral. Lineage: Eukaryota; Metazoa; Nematoda; Chromadorea; Rhabditida; Thelaziidae.